This 3735-nucleotide long non-coding RNA is filed under the name Theobroma cacao (cacao). RNAcentral describes it as "long non-coding RNA (TCAC_LNC002702)". Lineage: Eukaryota; Viridiplantae; Streptophyta; Magnoliopsida; Malvales; Malvaceae. The record is from RNAcentral.
GUUGCAAGCAAUGUAGGUUCAGUGUCUGCAGAUGCUUAUCCAUACUCAUCACCUCCUCCACCUUAUGAGUACAAGUCACCUCCACCGCCAUCUCCUUCUCCACCACCACCAUAUGAGUAUAAAUCUCCACCACCACCACCACCUUAUGAGUACAAGUCCCCACCUCCACCAUCUCCAUCACCACCUCCUCCAUACCACUACCACUCUCCACCACCACCAAAGCAUGAAGAAAAACCCCCGUACUACUACAAAUCUCCACCACCUCCAUCCCCAUCCCCACCUCCUCCAUACUAUUACGAGUCUCCACCACCACCAAAACAUGAAGAAAAACCACCAUACUACUACAAGUCUCCUCCACCUCCAUCUCCAUCACCACCUCCUCCAUACUACUACAAGUCUCCACCACCACCAAAACAUGAAGAAAAACCCCCAUACUACUACAAGUCUCCUCCACCUCCAGUAAAGCCUCCACCAAAACCAUAUUAUUAUAAAUCUCCUCCACCACCAUCUCCUUCACCACCUCCACCUUACUACUAUAAGUCUCCACCACCACCUUCACCAUCUCCUCGACCUCCUUACUACUACAAGUCUCCACCACCUCCUCCACAUUACGUCUCACCACCAUACUAUUAUAAAUCUCCACCACCACCAGCUAAAUCUCCUCCUUACUACUACAAUUCUCCCCCACCACCAGCUCCUUAUUACCCUGCCCCUCACCCUUAUCCCCACCACCAUCCACUCAUAGUCAAGGUGGUUGGUAAAGUUUACUGCUACAGAUGCUAUGACUGGGGAUAUCCAGUGAAGUCACACGACAAGAAACAUCUUAAAGGUAAAAUUCUUUCAACUUUCCCAAUUUUCUAGCACUAUCAAACCUUAGUUCAUUAUCAUUCACCACAAAAAAAAAAAGCAAAAACAUUUUAGAUCAUUCUUAUUUCACAUUUUCUUUUUCAUUAGCUGGACUUUCACUUUGUUAAUUUCAAAUUUUUGUAGCACUUUGUCAUCUGCUUUAGAAGUUAAAAUAAAGGUAGCAAGAUCUUUACAAUAUUUUAAUUUAGAAGACCUAAAUCUAACAAUUGAAAGGAAUCAGAAUAUAUUCUUGUGGUAACAAAUUUAAUUUAAAAAACUGAAUAGGCUAAGAAAGAAAACAAAGAUUUUCUUUGUUUCUUAAUUAUAUGUUAAUUUGUAUCUAAAUUAAAACAACCCUUUUCUAUGAUAUAUAUAAUAUUAUAGUUUUGUUGAUAAUAAUAUAGUAUAUUAUUUGGGUUAGCUCAAUUAAGGAAAGAGUAAAUGAAAUGAAUAUUUUAUAUUCAAACCAUAUACUUUUAUUAUUUAAAAAAUAGGCUUGGUUGAAUACAAGCUCUCUUUGCCCAUUUUGUUGUGCAGUAUAGAUUAAGUUGCAAUCUUGGAGGAAAAUAAAGUUGUCCUGAUUAAGGGUUGCACUAAUUACAAUUGGAAUUAACGUAUCAAAUGCCUUAUUGAAAGUUAAAAUAAAUAUAAUUAUAUUAAUUCAUGAAAAGACGAAAUUAGUUAUUAAAGUUAGUGAUGACUAAAGAUAAUUCAUUAUUUUGGUUGACUUUUUAACAACAAUUUGAUACUAAAAUGAUUUGGCUUUUAUUAUUGCACAUGGAACAGGUGCUGUUGUGGAAGUAACUUGCAAUGUCGGUGAAAAGAAGGUUAAGGCCUAUGGAAAAACCAAGAUCAAUGGAAAAUUCAGCAUCACGGUUGAAGGAUUUGACUAUGCCAAAUAUGGAGCCGAGGCAUGCAAGGCCAAGCUCCACGCUGCACCCACUGGUUCACCAUGCAACAUUCCCACCAGUCUACACGAGGGCAACACGGGUGCUGAGCUCAAGGUGAAGUCAAAGACCAAGUACGAGGUUGUGCUCAAGGCUAAGCCAUUUGCCUAUGCUCCAAAGACUCCUUACAAGGAGUGUGAAAAGCCGAAGCCAAAGCCGAAGCCUCCAACUCCUUACUACUAUACUUCUCCACCACCACCUACACCCGUUUAUAUCUAUAAAUCACCACCUCCUCCACCACCAACAUACGUCUACAAGUCACCACCACCUCCAUCCCACCCAUACAAGCCACCAACUGAGCCAUACAAACCACCACCAUACUACUACAAAUCUCCACCUCCACCAUCACCCUCCUACAUCUAUAAGUCACCACCCCCACCAACCCCCACUUACGUUUACAAAUCACCACCACCUCCAUCUCACCCAUACAAGCCACCAACUGAACCAUACAAACCACCACCAUACUACUACAAGUCCCCACCUCCACCAUCACCCACCUACGUCUACAAAUCACCACCACCUCCAUCUCACCCAUACAAGCCACCAACUGAGCCAUACAAACCACCACCAUACUACUACAAAUCUCCACCUCCACCAUCACCCACCUACGUCUACAAGUCACCACCCCCACCAACCCCUACUUACGUCUACAAAUCACCACCACCUCCAUCUCACCCAUACAAGCCACCAACUGAGCCACACAAACCACCACCAUACUACUACAAGUCACCACCUCCACCAUCGCCUACUUACAUCUACAAAUCACCACCACCUCCAUCUCACCCAUACAAGCCACCAACUGAGCCACACAAGCCACCACCAUACUACUACAAGUCACCACCUCCACCAUCGCCUACUUACAUCUACAAAUCACCACCACCUCCACCAUACUACUAUAAAUCCCCACCACCUCCAUCUCCAUCCCCACCUCCUCCAUACUAUUACGAGUCUCCACCACCACCAAAACACGAAGAAAAACCUCCAUACUACUACAAGUCUCCUCCACCUCCAUCUCCAUCCCCACCUCCUCCAUACUACUACAAGUCUCCACCACCUCCUCCACAUUACGUCUCACCACCAUACUAUUAUAAAUCUCCACCACCACCAUCGCCAUCUCCUCUUCCACCAUACUACUACAAAUCCCCGCCACCACCAGUCCAUUCUCCACCACCACCAUACUAUUACAAAUCUCCACCACCACCAUCGCCAUCUCCUCUUCCACCAUACUACUACAAAUCACCUCCACCUCCUUCACCCUCUCCCACACCCCCAUAUUAUUACAAGUCUCCACCACCACCAGUCCAUUCCCCUCCACCACCAUACUACUACAAAUCACCACCACCUCCAAUAAAGUCUCCAGCACCAGUCUACCACUACAACUCUCCUCCUCCACCAUCACCAUCUCCUCAUCCUCCAUAUUACUACAAAUCCCCACCACCUCCAUCUCCAUCACCAUUACCCCCAUAUUACUACAAAUCUCCUCCUCCACCGUCGCCAUCUCCUCUUCCACCCUAUUACUACAAAUCCCCACCACCACCAGUCCACUCUCCACCACCACCAUACUACUACAAGUCCCCACCACCACCAUCGCCAUCUCCUCUUCCACCAUACUACUACAAAUCCCCUCCACCUCCUUCACCCUCUCCUCCACCACCAUACUAUUACAAAUCACCACCACCUCCAGUAGAGGCUCCGGCACCAACCUAUCACUACAAAUCCCCACCACCACCAUACUACUACAACUCUCCCCCACCACCCCCAUAUUAUUACAAGUCCCCACCCCCACCUUCCCCAUCACCACCACCUCCCUACUACUACAAGUCUCCACCUCCACCUUCCCCGUCACCACCACAUCCUUACUAUUACAAAUCCCCACCUCCUCCCUCACCCUCACCCCUUCCCCCAUAUUACUACCACUCACCUCCCCCACCAGUGACAUCAC